This 253-nucleotide ribosomal RNA is filed under the name uncultured bacterium. RNAcentral describes it as "partial 16S ribosomal RNA". It matches the Rfam family "Bacterial small subunit ribosomal RNA", at positions 524 to 776 of the family's 1533-position model. The record is from RNAcentral.
UACGGAGGGUGCAAACGUUUCGCGGAAUCAUUGGGCGUAAAGCGCACGUAGGCGGCUUCUUAAGUCGGGUGUGAAAGCCCUCGGCUCAACCGAGGAAGUGCAUUCGAAACUGAGGGGCUUGAAUACUGGAGAGGAUGGCGGAAUUCCCGGUGUAGAGGUGAAAUUCGUAGAUAUCGGGAGGAACACCAGCGGCGAAGGCGGCCAUCUGGACAGAUAUUGACGCUGAGGUGCGAAAGCGUGGGGAGCAAACAGG